AGUUUGAUCCUGGUUCAGAUUGAACGCUGGCGGGAUGCUUUACACAUGCAAGUCGAACGGCAGCACGGACUUCGGUCUGGUGGCGAGUGGCGAACGGGUGAGUAAUGUAUCGGAACGUGUCAUAAAGGGAUAACUACGCGAAAGCGUAGCUAAUACUGCAUACGACUUCGGGUGGCGGGGACCUUCGGGCCUCGCACUAAUAGAGUGCUGUCGAUAUCGGAUUUAGCUAGUUGGUGGGGUAACGGUCACAUGGCGACGAUCCGUAGCUGGUUUGAGGACGACCAGCCACACUGACUGAGACACGGCCCAGACUCCUACGGGAGGCAGCAAUUUCUGGACACGUAAAAAACCUCCUGAUCCAGCCAUCCUGCGUGCGGCUUAAGGCCUUCGCCAGCACCUUUGGCAGAAAAAGAAACGGCACGGGAUAAGUCACCUGUGCAACUGACGGUACCUGCAGGCGCACCGGCUAACUACGUGCCAGCAGCCGCGGUAAUACGUAGGGGUAAGCGUUAAUCGAAUUACUGGGCGAAGCGUGCGCAGGCGGUUCGGAAAGAUGUGAAAUCCCAGAGCUUAACUUUGGAACCGCAUUUUUAACUACCGAGCUAGAGUGUGUCAGAGGAGGUGGAAUUCCGCGUAGCAGUGAAAUGCGUAGAUAUGCGGAGGAACACCGAUGGCGAAGGCAGCCUCCUGGGAUAACACUGACGCUCAUGCACGAAAGCGUGGGGAGCAAACAGGAUUAGAUACCCUGGUAGUCCACGCCCUAAACGAUGUCAACUAGCUGUUGGGGCCUUCGGGCCUGGUGGCGCAGCUAACGCGUGAAGUUGACCGCCUGGGGAGUACGGUCGCAAGAUUAAAACUCAAAGGAAUUGACGGGGACUCGCACAAGCUGGUGGAUGAUGUGAUUAAUCUGAUGCACCGCGAAAAAACUUCCUACUCACCCUUGACAUGUCUGAAUCCCUGAAGAGAUUUGGGAGUGCUCGCAAGAGAACCGGAACACAGGUGCUGCAUGGCUGUCGUCAGUCGUGUCGUGAGAUGUUGGGUUAAGUCCCAACGAGCAACCCCUUGUCAUUAGUUGCUAUGAAAGGGCACUCUAAAUGAGAUCGUCGGUGACAACCGGAUAGCGUGGACAGACGUCAAGUCCUCAUGGCCUUGUUAUGGUAGGGCUUCACACGUCAUACAAUGGUCGGGACAGCGGCUCGCCAACCCAGGCGAGGGGGAGCCAAUCCCAGAAACCCGAUCGUAGUCCGGAUCGCAGUCUGCAACUCGGAUCAGUGAAGUCGGAAUCGCUAGUAAUCGAUCAGCAUGUCGCGGUGAAUACGUUCCCGGGUCUUGUACACACCGCCCGUCACACCAUGGGAGUGGGUUUUACCAGAAGUAGUUAGGUCAACUCGUAAGGAGGGCGAUUACCGGUAGAUUCAUGACUGGUGAAGUCGUGAACAAGGUAG
RNAcentral lists this ribosomal RNA (1445 nucleotides) under uncultured Bordetella sp. RNAcentral describes it as "partial 16S-23S ribosomal RNA intergenic spacer". It matches the Rfam family "Bacterial small subunit ribosomal RNA". Lineage: Bacteria; Pseudomonadati; Pseudomonadota; Betaproteobacteria; Burkholderiales; Alcaligenaceae. The record is from RNAcentral.